This 1463-nucleotide ribosomal RNA is filed under the name uncultured organism. Its description in RNAcentral is "SSU rRNA". It matches the Rfam family "Bacterial small subunit ribosomal RNA". The record is from RNAcentral.
UUGAACGCUGGCGGCAGGCCUAACACAUGCAAGUCGAACGGUAACAGGAAGCAGCUUGCUGCUUUGCUGACGAGUGGCGGACGGGUGAGUAAUGUCUGGGAAACUGCCCGAUGGAGGGGGAUAACUACUGGAAACGGUAGCUAAUACCGCAUAACGUCGCAAGACCAAAGAGGGGGACCUUAGGGCCUCUUGCCAUCGGAUGUGCCCAGAUGGGAUUAGCUAGUAGGUGGGGUAACGGCUCACCUAGGCGACGAUCCCUAGCUGGUCUGAGAGGAUGACCAGCCACACUGGAACUGAGACACGGUCCAGACUCCUACGGGAGGCAGCAGUGGGGAAUAUUGCACAAUGGGCGCAAGCCUGAUGCAGCCAUGCCGCGUGUAUGAAGAAGGCCUUCGGGUUGUAAAGUACUUUCAGCGGGGAGGAAGGGAGUAAAGUUAAUACCUUUGCUCAUUGACGUUACCCGCAGAAGAAGCACCGACUAACUCCGUGCCAGCAGCCGCGGUAAUACGGAGGGUGCAAGCGUUAAUCGGAAUUACUGGGCGUAAAGCGCACGCAGGCGGUUUGUUAAGUCAGAUGUGAAAUCCCCGGGCUCAACCUGGGAACUGCAUCUGAUACUGGCAAGCUUGAGUCUCGUAGAGGGGGGUAGAAUUCCAGGUGUAGCGGUGAAAUGCGUAGAGAUCUGGAGGAAUACCCGGUGGCGAAGGCGGCCCCCUGGACGAAGACUGACGCUCAGGUGCGAAAGCGUGGGGGAGCAAACAGGAUUAGAUACCCUGGUAGUCCACGCCGUAAACGAUGUCGACUUGGAGGUUGUGCCCUUGAGGCGUGGCUUCCGGAGCUAACGCGUUAAGUCGACCGCCUGGGGAGUACGGCCGCAAGGUUAAAACUCAAAUGAAUUGACGGGGGCCCGCACAAGCGGUGGAGCAUGUGGUUUAAUUCGAUGCAACGCGAAGAACCUUACCUGGUCUUGACAUCCACGGAAGUUUUCAGAGAUGAGAAUGUGCCUUCGGGAACCGUGAGACAGGUGCUGCAUGGCUGUCGUCAGCUCGUGUUGUGAAAUGUUGGGUUAAGUCCCGCAACGAGCGCAACCCUUAUCCUUUGUUGCCAGCGGUCCGGCCGGGAACUCAAAGGAGACUGCCAGUGAUAAACUGGAGGAAGGUGGGGAUGACGUCAAGUCAUCAUGGCCCUUACGACCAGGGCUACACACGUGCUACAAUGGCGCAUACAAAGAGAAGCGACCUCGCGAGAGCAAGCGGACCUCAUAAAGUGCGUCGUAGUCCGGAUUGGAGUCUGCAACUCGACUCCAUGAAGUCGGAAUCGCUAGUAAUCGUGGAUCAGAAUGCCACGGUGAAUACGUUCCCGGGCCUUGUACACACCGCCCGUCACACCAUGGGAGUGGGUUGCAAAAGAAGUAGGUAGCUUAACCUUCGGGAGGGCGCUUACCACUUUGUGAUUCAUGACUGGGG